Callithrix jacchus (white-tufted-ear marmoset) is the source of this 1329-nucleotide non-coding RNA. The record is from RefSeq and is a predicted model, not a curated record. Lineage: Eukaryota; Metazoa; Chordata; Mammalia; Primates; Cebidae.
CAGAAAGAGAUGGUCAUACCUCACGGGAGAAAACUGAAACGACAACAACAAAACCCAAACAUAAACAAACAACAACAGACAGGCAAAAGAAACAACUGCGCAAUUCACAUGAUUACUGAGUGUUCUGAUGGGAUAAAUACUUGAAAGGUAGAGAGGAACGAACAUCUUGCUAAUUGGGCAAUCAGUUACCAGGUCUAUGGCACUCAUCUAGACUACAGACGAUGGUGGCUCAGAUGUACAAGAUAUGACUGGCUUCUGGAUAUAAUCUUCAGGGAGACCUGACAAGAUUUACUGAAAGAUUAGAUGUGAGGUGUCAGAGACAGAGAAAGAUGAGUCAAAAAUGACACCAAGGUUUUAGGCAGAGCAACCUGAAGGGUUGCCAUUAACCAAAGUAGGAAAGAUUAAAUGAGGUGUAGAUUUCAGGAAGGACAUUAGUAGCCCCAUUUUGGAUCUGACUAGUGUGUGAUACCCAAUAACUAACUAAAGAGAGAUGUCAAGGAGGCAGACUGACAUAGAGAUCUGGAACGAAGGAGAGAGAUCUAAAACAUACAUUUGGAAAUCACUAGCAUAUACACAGUAGAAAAAGUCAUGAGGGGCUGUGGGUGGUGGCCCACAUCUGUAAUCCCAACACUGGGAGGCCGAGGCAGGCAGAUUACCAGAGAUCAGAAGAUUGAGACAAGCCUGGCCAACGUGAGGAAACCCUGUCCCUACUAAAAAUACAAAAAUUAGCCAGGUAUGGUGGCAACCAUCAGUAAUUCUAGCUACUCGGGAGGCUGAAGCAGGAGAAUUGCUUGAACUCAGGAGGCAAAGGUUGCAGUCAGCCGAGAUCACACCACUGGACUCCAGCCUGGAUGACAGAAUGAGACUCCAUCUCAAAGGAAAAAAAGAAAAGAAAAACAAAAAGUCACGAGAAAGAAGACUGAGAACUGAGCCCUUGGAAACAGCAAUGUGUGAAAGGUGAAAGAUGAGGAGAAGCAAGCAAAACAGAUCAUGAUGAACGAACCAGAACAGCAGGAGGAAACACCUGAGGGAGUGAGGUCCUGAAAACCAGUGAAGAUGCUGUUACGGAGGACAUGUCCUCCGAUGGGUCAAAUAUUGCUGACAGAUUAACUAAAAUGAGGUGUAAGAAAAAAAUCCCUAGAUUUAUUACAAAAAGAAAUUGUGAUAACCCUGAGAAAAACAAUUUUGGAGGAGUGCUGAAACUGAAGACUUCUGGUGUGAAGCCAAGAGCAAAUGGAAAGAGCAAAUGGAAAGAGCGAAUGGAAAGAGCAAAUGGAAAGAGCGAAUGGAAAGAGCAAAUGGAAAGAGUGAAUGGAAAGAGCGAAUGGA